UACGUAGGGUGCGAGCGUUGUCCGGAUUUAUUGGGCGUAAAGAGCUCGUAGGCGGUUUGUCGCGUCGGCCGUGAAAUCUCCACGCUUAACGUGGAGCGUGCGGUCGAUACGGGCAGACUUGAGUUCAGUAGGGGAGACUGGAAUUCCUGGUGUAGCGGUGAAAUGCGCAGAUAUCAGGAGGAACACCGGUGGCGAAGGCGGGUCUCUGGGCCGAUACUGACGUGAGGAGCGAAAGCGUGGGGAGCGAACAGG
Molecule: ribosomal RNA, 252 nt
Filed under: uncultured bacterium
Lineage: Bacteria
Description: partial 16S ribosomal RNA
Rfam family: Bacterial small subunit ribosomal RNA
Source: RNAcentral